GACGAACGCUGGCGGCGUGCUUAACACAUGCAAGUCGAACGGAAAGGCCCUGCUUUUGUGGGGUGCUCGAGUGGCGAACGGGUGAGUAACACGUGAGUAACCUGCCCUCGACUUUGGGAUAACUUCAGGAAACUGGGGCUAAUACCGGAUAGGAGCUCCUGCUGCAUGGUGGGGGUUGGAAAGUUUCGGCGGUUGGGGAUGGACUCGCGGCUUAUCAGCUUGUUGGUGGGGUAGUGGCUUACCAAGGCUUUGACGGGUAGCCGGCCUGAGAGGGUGACCGGCCACAUUGGGACUGAGAUACGGCCCAGACUCCUCCGGGAGGCAGCGGUGAGGAAUAUUGCACGCUGGGCGGAAGCCUGAUGCAGCAACGCCGCGUGCGGGAUGACGGCCUUCGGGUUGUAAACCGCUUUCGCCUGUGACGAAGCGUGAGUGACGGUAAUGGGUAAAGAAGCACCGGCUAACUACGUG
This 468-nucleotide ribosomal RNA is filed under the name uncultured bacterium. RNAcentral describes it as "partial 16S ribosomal RNA". It matches the Rfam family "Bacterial small subunit ribosomal RNA", at positions 28 to 507 of the family's 1533-position model. The record is from RNAcentral.